Molecule: long non-coding RNA, 272 nt
Organism: Peromyscus eremicus (cactus mouse)
Lineage: Eukaryota; Metazoa; Chordata; Mammalia; Rodentia; Cricetidae
Exons: 3
Source: RefSeq, a predicted model, not a curated record
CCCCAGGACCAGACUGUUCUUAGUAGUUUCCUGGGUGCUCUCAGUGCUGCUCUCAAUGAAUUUUUAGUCUGGGAUGUUGUCAUCACUCCCUCUACUGGAGAAGGAGUUGUGAGAAUCAUGGGAAAAAAGAUGUCUCUUUAGAGCAUAUAAACCCUUUUCCAGUCUUCAGCUUUACAGAUGGGAAUCCUGAAGCCCAUAGAAAAUGAGAAAGCUACACAGUAGCAGAAUUUGGUGCCAGUCAAGAAGGGCGGCUGAUUUGGGCAAAAGGUAAA